Long non-coding RNA from Oncorhynchus keta (chum salmon), 754 nucleotides. RefSeq lists it as uncharacterized. The transcript is spliced from 3 exons. Lineage: Eukaryota; Metazoa; Chordata; Actinopteri; Salmoniformes; Salmonidae. The record is from RefSeq and is a predicted model, not a curated record.
CAGAGUCAAUGUGGAGGCUAUAUACAGGGGGUACCGGUACAGAGUCAAUGUGGAGGCUAUAUACAGGGGGUACCAGUACAGAGUCAAUGUGGAGGCUAUAUACAGGGGGUACCGGUACAGAGUCAAUGUGGAGGCUAUAUACAGGGGGUACCAGUACAGAGUCAAUGUGGAGGCUAUAUACAGGGGGUACCGGUACAGAGUCAAUGUGGAGGCUAUAUACAGGGGGUACCAGUACAGAGUCAAUGUGGAGGCUAUAUACAGGGGGUACCAGUACAGAGUCAAUGUGGAGGCUAUAUACAGGGGGUACCGGUACAGAGUCAAUGUGGAGGCUAUAUACAGGGGGUACCAGUACAGAGUCAAUGUGGAGGCUAUAUACAGGGGGUACCAGUACAGAGUCAAUGUGGAGGCUAUAUACAGGGUAUUACGGUACAGAGUCAAUGUGGAGGCUAUAUACAGGGGGUACCGGUACAGAGUCAAUGUGGAGGCUAUAUACAGGGGGUACCGGUACAGAGUCAAUGUGGAGGCUAUAUACAGGGGGUACCGGUACAGAGUCAAUGUGGAGGCUAUAUACAGGGUAUUACGGUACAGAGUCAAUGUGGAGGCUAUAUACAGGGGGUACCGGUACAGAGUCAAUGUGGAGGCUAUAUACAGGGGGUACAGGUACAGAGUCAAUGUGGAGGCUAUAUACAGGGUAUUACGGUACAGAGUCAAUGUGGAGGCUAUAUACAGGGGGUACCGGUACAGAGUCAAUGUG